UGUUCCCAUUGGAAAAGACGGGCUGUGGUCUAUCUUGGUUUAGUUAUACAAAUAUUUGAUGUAAGGACAGCACAGUGCCAUUGAGGGCAGCGACAGUGGUUACAGAUUUACAGGAUUGAACGAGUUUUCCUAUGAUAAAGUUGGUCCCUUGUCGCCACCGGUAGGACACUGAGGGGCGGUACCAUCAUGGCUACGUUGUCUAUGCUCCAGACCCUCCAGCAACACACUACAUGGAUGAGCAGCCUGGAGAUCUGCAGAGUGGUCUGGGUGGGGCUGCAGCCAUAUGUUAGAGCCUUUAGGAAUGCUUAUACCUCUGCCAAGGUUGGAGCUGUAACAGUCUAUACUGCUAGACACGAUACAUAUGAGUUCCUGAGAGAUCCUCCUCCUGGUUUCUUCCCGAGGGUCAGUGUGAUCAGUCUCUGGGUUAGCUGGUCUGAUCCUGUCAAGGAAAGAUAAUAGGACACAUCUGAUGAGGUUGGGGGUUCCUCUGGGUAUGGCCACUGUUGGGACGGCCAUGUGCUACCCCACUCAGACAGUGGCUGCUGUAAAGAUGACUGGGCAGAAGAUGUAUGCAGCCAGCCAGUACACCACCUCAUACAGUGGGGAGAACAAGUAUUUGAUACACUGCCGAUUUUGCAAGUUUUCCUA
Long non-coding RNA from Coregonus clupeaformis (lake whitefish), 648 nucleotides. RefSeq lists it as uncharacterized. The transcript is spliced from 6 exons. The record is from RefSeq and is a predicted model, not a curated record. Lineage: Eukaryota; Metazoa; Chordata; Actinopteri; Salmoniformes; Salmonidae.